AUUGAACGCUGGCGGCAGGCUUAACACAUGCAAGUCGAGCGGGGUGAUGGUGCUUGCACUAUCACUUAGCGGCGGACGGGUGAGUAAUGCUUAGGAAUCUGCCUAUUAGUGGGGGACAACAUCUCGAAAGGGAUGCUAAUACCGCAUACGUCCUACGGGAGAAAGCAGGGGAUCACUUGUGACCUUGCGCUAAUAGAUGAGCCUAAGUCGGAUUAGCUAGUUGGUGGGGUAAAGGCCUACCAAGGCGACGAUCUGUAGCGGGUCUGAGAGGAUGAUCCGCCACACUGGGACUGAGACACGGCCCAGGCUCCUACGGGAGGCAGCAGUGGGGAAUAUUGGACAAUGGGGGGAACCCUGAUCCAGCCAUGCCGCGUGUGUGAAGAAGGCCUUAUGGUUGUAAAGCACUUUAAGUGAGGAGGAGGCUCUUUUGGUUAAUACCCAAGAUGAGUGGACGUUACUCGCAGAAUAAGCACCGGCUAACUCUGUGCCAGCCGCCGCAGUAA
RNAcentral lists this ribosomal RNA (503 nucleotides) under uncultured bacterium. RNAcentral describes it as "partial 16S ribosomal RNA". It matches the Rfam family "Bacterial small subunit ribosomal RNA", at positions 30 to 523 of the family's 1533-position model. The record is from RNAcentral.